GAGAGUUUGAUCAUGGCUCAGAUUGAACGCUGGCGGCAGGCCUAACACAUGCAAGUCGAGCGGUAACAGGACUAGCUUGCUAGUUGCUGACGAGCGGCGGACGGGUGAGUAACGCGUAGGAAUCUACCAAGUAGUGGGGGAUAAGCCAGAGAAAUUUGGUCUAAUACCGCAUACGUUCUUCGGAAGAAAGGAGGGGAUCUUCGGACCUUUCGCUAUUUGAUGAGCCUGCGUGAGAUUAGCUUGUUGGUGAGGUAAGAGCUCACCAAGGCGACGAUCUCUAGCUGGUCUGAGAGGAUGAUCAGCCACACUGGGACUGAGACACGGCCCAGACUCCUACGGGAGGCAGCAGUGGGGAAUAUUGCACAAUGGGCGCAAGCCUGAUGCAGCCAUGCCGCGUGUGUGAAGAAGGCCCUAGGGUUGUAAAGCACUUUCAGCAGUGAGGAAAGGUGUGUGGUUAAUACCCGCAUACUGUGACGUUAACUGCAGAAGAAGCACCGGCUAACUCCGUGCCAGCAGCCGCGG
Molecule: ribosomal RNA, 522 nt
Filed under: uncultured bacterium
Lineage: Bacteria
Description: bacterial SSU rRNA
Rfam family: Bacterial small subunit ribosomal RNA
Source: RNAcentral